RNAcentral lists this ribosomal RNA (1085 nucleotides) under Cylindrocladiella lageniformis. RNAcentral's name for it is "partial 18S ribosomal RNA". It matches the Rfam family "Eukaryotic small subunit ribosomal RNA", at positions 41 to 1116 of the family's 1831-position model. Lineage: Eukaryota; Fungi; Ascomycota; Sordariomycetes; Hypocreales; Nectriaceae. The record is from RNAcentral.
ANNNUANNCNAUGCANNNNUNNGNNNAGCAUUAUACAGCGAAACUGCGAAUGGCUCAUUAUAUAAGUUAUCGUUUAUUUGAUAGUACCUUACUACUUGGAUAACCGUGGUAAUUCUAGAGCUAAUACAUGCUAAAAAUCCCGACUUCGGAAGGGAUGUAUUUAUUAGAUUAAAAACCAAUGCCCUUCGGGGCUCCUUGGUGAUUCAUGAUAACUUCUCGAAUCGCAUGGCCUUGUGCCGGCGAUGGUUCAUUCAAAUUUCUUCCCUAUCAACUUUCGAUGUUUGGGUAUUGGCCAAACAUGGUUGCAACGGGUAACGGAGGGUUAGGGCUCGACCCCGGAGAAGGAGCCUGAGAAACGGCUACUACAUCCAAGGAAGGCAGCAGGCGCGCAAAUUACCCAAUCCCGACACGGGGAGGUAGUGACAAUAAAUACUGAUACAGGGCUCUUUAGGGUCUUGUAAUUGGAAUGAGUACAAUUUAAAUCUCUUAACGAGGAACAAUUGGAGGGCAAGUCUGGUGCCAGCAGCCGCGGUAAUUCCAGCUCCAAUAGCGUAUAUUAAAGUUGUUGUGGUUAAAAAGCUCGUAGUUGAACCUUGGGCCUGGCUGGCCGGUCCGCCUCACCGCGUGUACUGGUCCGGCCGGGCCUUUCCCUCUGUGGAACCCCAUGCCCUUCACUGGGUGUGGCGGGGAAACAGGACUUUUACUUUGAAAAAAUUAGAGUGCUCCAGGCAGGCCUAUGCUCGAAUACAUUAGCAUGGAAUAAUAGAAUAGGACGUGUGGUUCUAUUUUGUUGGUUUCUAGGACCGCCGUAAUGAUUAAUAGGGACAGUCGGGGGCAUCAGUAUUCAAUUGUCAGAGGUGAAAUUCUUGGAUUUAUUGAAGACUAACUACUGCGAAAGCAUUUGCCAAGGAUGUUUUCAUUAAUCAGGAACGAAAGUUAGGGGAUCGAAGACGAUCAGAUACCGUCGUAGUCUUAACCAUAAACUAUGCCGACUAGGGAUCGGACGGUGUUAUUUUUUGACCCGUUCGGCACCUUACGAGAAAUCAAAGUGCUGNCUCCAGGGGNNNNNNNGNNNNNNNNNNGAA